UACAAUCACUAUCAUUUUUCCCUUUUUGUGGUUACAACCAUUAGGGGCCGUUUGGUUGAAUGUAGUUAUAAAAACAGUAUAGUUGGAAGUACAUGCAGCUGUAAAUGCUGCAGUCAUAACUACAUCUAGUUUGUUUGGUUUUAUGCAGUUGCAACUGCUGCGGUUAUAUUUCUUCUGUUUGGUAGGUUACAGUUGAGAUUUGUAUUUGUAAAUUCUGUCAAUUUUUAGAUAAAAAGGUGAGAUUACCUCUUGUGAACAUAGUAUAAUCAUGAGAUCUUUU
This 280-nucleotide long non-coding RNA is filed under the name Ananas comosus (pineapple). Its description in RNAcentral is "long non-coding RNA (ACOM_LNC034628)". Lineage: Eukaryota; Viridiplantae; Streptophyta; Magnoliopsida; Poales; Bromeliaceae. The record is from RNAcentral.